CUUGGUCAUUUAGAGGAAGUAAAAGUCGUAACAAGGUUUCCGUAGGUGAACCUGCGGAAGGAUCAUUAAACGCAAUUGGUUAUACAUUUCAUGUAUCAACUGCAUAAACCCAUUCCGAGUACCUUGCCUGUUGCUUCCAUGGGGCCUGACCUUGGUCACUCUUGAGAUGUGAAUCCCAGGAGAGUUCCCAUGGGAGGUAAUCAUUAAAUUCAUGUAUCCAAUGUCUUCUGUCUGAACUGUUUAUGACAAAUGUUAAAACUUUCAACAACGGAUCUCUUGGUUCUCGCAUCGAUGAAGAACGCAGCGAAAUGCGAUAAGUAAUGUGAAUUGCAGAAUUCAGUGAAUCAUCGAAUCUUUGAACGCACAUUGCGCCCAUUAGUAUUCUAGUGGGCAUGCCUGUUCGAGCGUCAUUUCAACCCUUAAGCUUAGCUUAGUAUUGGGAAUCUGCUUAACCGCAGCUCCUUAAAUCUAGUUGGCAGAGCACAGCUGUACUCUGAGCGUAGUAAUUCAUUAUCUCGCUUCUGGAAGACAGCCGUACGAUCGCCACAAACCUAUUUAUUUUUUAAUGGUUGACCUCGGAUCAGGUAGGAAUACCCGCUGAACUUAAGCAUAUCAAUAAGCGGAGGA
This 627-nucleotide ribosomal RNA is filed under the name uncultured Wilcoxina. Its description in RNAcentral is "eukaryotic LSU rRNA". The stretch from base 257 to 410 matches the Rfam family "5.8S ribosomal RNA". The record is from RNAcentral. Lineage: Eukaryota; Fungi; Ascomycota; Pezizomycetes; Pezizales; Pyronemataceae.